This 72-nucleotide transfer RNA is filed under the name Capsicum annuum. It matches the Rfam family "tRNA". From Rfam's summary of the family: Transfer RNA (tRNA) molecules are approximately 80 nucleotides in length. Their secondary structure includes four short double-helical elements and three loops (D, anti-codon, and T loops). The record is from Rfam by way of RNAcentral. Lineage: Eukaryota; Viridiplantae; Streptophyta; Magnoliopsida; Solanales; Solanaceae.
UCCGUUAUCAUCCAACAGUUAGGAUAUAUGGCUUUCAUCCAGGAGACUUGGGUUCAAUUCCCAAUAACGGAA